Molecule: ribosomal RNA, 446 nt
Filed under: uncultured bacterium
Lineage: Bacteria
Description: partial 16S ribosomal RNA
Rfam family: Bacterial small subunit ribosomal RNA
Source: RNAcentral
CCUACGGGUGGCAGCAGUCGAGACUCAUUCACAAUGGGGGAAACCCUGAUGGUGCGACGCCGCGUGGGGGAAUGAAGGUCUUCGGAUUGUAAACCCCUGUCAUGUGGGAGCAAAUCAAAAAGAUAGUACCACAAGAGGAAGAGACGGCUAACGCUGUGCCAGCAGCCGCGGUAAUACAUAGGUCGCAAGCGUUGUUCGGAAUCACUGGGCGUAAAGCGUUCGUAGGCUGUUUCGUAAGUCUGUUGGGAACGGCGCGGGCUCAAACCGCGGACGGCACAGGAUACUGGUGUACUAGAGUAAUGGAGGGGGAAACGGAAGUCUCGGUGUAGCAGUGAAAUGCGUAGAGAUCGGGAGGAACACUCGUGGCGAAGGCGGGUUCCGGGACAUUAACUGACGCUGAGGCACGAAGGCCAGGGGAGCGAAAGGGAUUAGAUACCCUAGUAGUC